CCCUUAGAUGUUCUGGGCCGCACGCGUGCUACACUGAGUGGAUCAGCGGGUCAGGUUGCGCGAAAGUGUUUCCUAAUCUUGAAAUCCGCUCGUGACGGGGAUUGACGGUUGCAAUUUUCUGUCAUGAACGAGGAAUACCUUGUAAGCGCGGGUCAUCAUCCCGCGCUGAAUACGUCCCUGCCCUUUGUACACACCGCCCGUCGCUCCUACCGAUUGAGUGGUCCGGUGAGGCUUUGGGAUCUGAGCGGAAAGAGCGUUUCGCUGUUUCUGCUCGGAAAACUCAGUCGAACCUUAUCAUUUAGAGGAAGGAGAAGUCGUAACA
Molecule: ribosomal RNA, 322 nt
Filed under: uncultured eukaryote
Lineage: Eukaryota
Description: partial 18S ribosomal RNA
Rfam family: Eukaryotic small subunit ribosomal RNA
Source: RNAcentral